Heterocephalus glaber (naked mole-rat) is the source of this 2529-nucleotide long non-coding RNA. RefSeq lists it as uncharacterized. NCBI's taxonomy places the organism in Eukaryota, Metazoa, Chordata, Mammalia, Rodentia, Bathyergidae. The record is from RefSeq and is a predicted model, not a curated record.
CGCCAUCACUGUAGCACUGCGCGUUUUCAACCAAUUGAGCCACAGCUGAGCUUCCGCACAUGCGGAGAAGGAUCUUUGAGGUGGAGCCCGCGAAAUAGGCGCAUGCGCUCUGCCCCUCAGUCGGUAUGGCUGUGUUGAGGCGUUUAAACUUGCCGCCCACUAUCUCUUCACCGCUAGUUUUGAGCCAAGCCUGGGAGGCCGUUACUGCGCCUGCGCGCGGGCCUCUGGCGGCAGAUUUAUUUUCUAAUACAUACUUCCAUUCAAAUUGUGGCUGGUCGUCUGCAUACUCAGAGGAAAGUGUAGAAGUGGCCCAGGACACAGAACUCCAUGAAGCCAGCCAUCCAGAUUCCUCCUCAUUGCAGCUCUGCCAUCCUCAGGUUGUGGACUUCAUAUCCUGUCCAUGAUGACUGGUUCUGCUACACGUCUACUAUUCCAGCCAGCAGAAAGAAGGAAGAGAUGAAGAAGGGCACAUAUGCCAGCAGUUACCUACUGUUGCAGUGUAGAUCUAAAAUGCCCCCCAAAGCUUCAUGUGUUUGGAUGACUCAAGGGGGUGCAUCCAGCGGAUGACUUCAGCAGCUGAGGGAGCUGUUGGGAGGGAAAUUCGUCCAAGGAAGCAGAGGACCUGUCCACGUCACACAGCAAGUAAGAGUGAAGGCCAGACCCCAGGACUCCUGACUCCCAGCACUGCUGUCUCUAAUAACUGCCCCAUCUGGGCAUGGAACAUUUGGAAAAAAUGUUCCUGCAUCUUUGAGCCUUUCUUAAUUAAGUCUUACAUUUUAUCCCAAAGAAGACUUCUUUGAGACUGCUGGUGGGAAAGUGAGGUUUGGCAGUCCAGUCUGGAAGUCAUGAGGCAACAGGGAAAAACAGGCAAACAAUCCUGGGAUGUAUUUUGCUGUUUCAGUCCUUCAAAAACAGCAGAACAAAACACUCAGACCCAAACUGGGGUUCUGGCCAGCAGGGCACUGAAUCAACUUGGACAGAAUUCACUAAGUGGAUCCUCCUCCUUCUUUCCUAAAAUGGUGGAGCCUUUGGAGAGGUACUGUUUUCUGGUUUGUCUGGAGUUUCAUUAAGGUAAAUCAAGCAAACAAACAAACAAACAAACAAACAUGUUUCACCAGGCCCCAGAGAAUUAAACCAUAAACAAGCUCCAGGUACAUCUCCUCUUGCUCGGCCAUACUGCUGAACAAGUCCUUCAUCGCCCAGGAUCUGACCAUCCUUCACGAUGCUGGCAGCCAGGGGGCAGUAUCCUCCCUCAGCCCCGUCCUAGGGAUUCUGGGCCCCAGCUGCUUCACUGUUUGCAGGGCUGCUGUAAUAAAUACCUUGGACUUGACUGGGCAGCUUAAAUAACAGAAAUUUAUUUCCCACGGUGCUGGAGAUCAAGGUGUUGGCAGGCAGGGUUGGUUUCUCCUGAGGCUUGGCUUGGCUUGCAGAUAGCCAGCUCUGUGCCCUGGCUACUUUCCUUACCAGUGGGAUGAGGGACGGUGAGUUCAGAAGGAAGUGAGCCUCUGGGGCCUAAAUAACCCAAGGGAACGAAUACAUACAGUUGCAGCAACACUGCUCCAUCUGGCUAAUGCUGGAUUUCAUUUCACCUGAGAUUAUUUCUUUUCUUUUUUUUCCCUUUUGGAAAAAUAUUCUCUAAAAAAAAAAUUUUUAGUGCAUGUUUGCAGUACAUAAUGUUUACAUUCCUCUUGUGAAGUUAGUACAUGCGCAUAAUGCAUUCUAAUUCCUUUUUUCAUCCUCUUCCCCCUCCCCUCCCUCCAUCUCUUUUUUUAUUUUGGUACUGGGGAUCAAACUUGGGUCCUUGCACUUGAGCAGCGGGCAUCGAAACCACUGAGCUAAACCCCGGCCCCUCCCUCCAUCUCUUGAUCUCUGCACAUUUGAGAAAGAUCUCCCUACUUCCUAUUAUCUUUUAAUUUGCUCGACAAAAGUUUAUGUUCUACCACAUAAGAAUAAAAACUAUGAAUUAUAAUUGUAAGAUACUAUCAAUUGUUAAGCCUCAUUCUGAUUUCAGAGAUGCUGGAAUUUGAAAAAUAAUGUGUAUCUUGGGACUGAUGAGAGAUAGUACAUCCCACUUGUUGACUUUUGGCAGUGAGGAUCUACAUCAAGGGAACCAGGCAAGGCCAUUAGACCUGGUGCCUCAGAUUCUGGCUUGCUGCUCAAUAUCUCAGUUUUAUGAAGAGUAGAGUGGUCAAGUGUCAUCCUAACUGAGGCUCAUCACUGCCAGAACUAGCUAAAUCCAUGCUUGGGAAACAGAUCCAAACAUCUGCUUAGACCCUCCCUUGAACUUUUAGUGGACCUUGUAAAAUGAGGCCAGAGCUUUGAGUUCUUGCUCCAACCUAGGGAUUGAAAGAAGAGAGGCUUGAAAGUAGAGGGCUUUGCAUGCUUAUGAGAGAGAAAAAGGGCUGGGAGUCAGGGGCUGUUGGUCCUAGCCUUGGUUCCUCUGUCCUUGGACAUGGACUAGGCAAGUUCCUCUAGCUCUCUGGUCCCGUUUCCUCAGGGGUAAAGCAGUGAAGCUUAAUCACUCAUUGA